Molecule: ribosomal RNA, 520 nt
Filed under: uncultured Glomus
Lineage: Eukaryota; Fungi; Glomeromycota; Glomeromycetes; Glomerales; Glomeraceae
Description: SSU rRNA
Rfam family: Eukaryotic small subunit ribosomal RNA
Source: RNAcentral
AGCAGCCGCGGUAAUUCCAGCUCCAAUAGCGUAUAUUAAAGUUGUUGCAGUUAAAAAGCUCGUAGUUGAAUUUCGGGAUCAAUUAGUCGGUCGUGCCUCUGGUACGUACUGGUUUUAUUGGUUCCUCCCUUCUGACGAAACAUGAUGUCAUUAAUUUGGUGUCGUGGAGAAUCAGGACUGUUACUUUGAAAAAUUAGAGUGUUUAAAGCAAGCUAACGCUUGAAUACAUUAGCAUGGAAUAAUGAAAUAGGACGUUUGAUUCUAUUUUGUUGGUUUCUAGGGUCGACGUAAUGAUUAAUAGGGAUAGUUGGGGGCAUUAGUAUUCAACUGUCAGAGGUGAAAUUCUUGGAUUUAUUGAAGACUAACUACUGCGAAAGCAUUUGCCAAGGAUGUUUUAUUAAUCAAGAACGAAAGUUAGGGGAUCGAAGACGAUCAGAUACCGUCGUAGUCUUAACCAUAAACUAUGCCACUAGGGAUCGGAUGAUGUUAAUUUUUUAANGACUCAUUCGGCGCCUUACGG